CACAAACUGCAACCACCCGUUGCCUGUAUUAAGUUAGCUAGUGAUAGCUACGCGGACACGGUGAGUCUAAGUUUUAUA
Molecule: regulatory RNA element, 78 nt
Organism: Weissella oryzae SG25
Lineage: Bacteria; Bacillati; Bacillota; Bacilli; Lactobacillales; Lactobacillaceae
Source: Rfam